ACCUAGUAAAAUGGAGAACUCUUUGGUUUUCAUUUGUCCCUUGUUUUCGCUUAUUGGUGCUGGUUGUAAAAUGAGGAAAAGUUGGAUUCUUCCACGGUCGUUACAGCAUGUAAUGUAGUUUUGAGGUAUAGGUGCCAUGAUAUUCUUUUAUUUUUAGAUGAUAUGAAUAAGUGUUUUCUAAAGGCAAAUAGAGAAACCACAACUAUCACAUGUUUUCUGUUUUUUUAUUCAUAUACAGAGGAAGGCAUGCUUGAGCAAAUCAUAUACAAAGGUUUAGCAUUCAACUGGCUGCCGGCUGCUGUCAUGAUUUAUUGCUUCCUUGUAGAUCUGGGAUUCAAGUGGUUGGAUUAUUAGGAAAAUUCACACGAGGACCACUUUGCUGUUUGCACGUCGUUAAGGUGGUAAUUAAUAUCGAAUUUUGGUUUUUGGCGCUUUUAGAAAAAAUAGAAAGCUUGCAUUUGCUAAUGGAAGGAUUUUUGGUUUUGAGGGUACAUGAGACUGAAUUCUCAAGAGAAAGAGCUCAUGACAAUGUCGGGAGCCUGUAGAUUUAUAUAUAUGAGGCUAUAAUGCAAAUGCAAGGGUUUGGAUGUUUGGAUUGUCUUCCAACAACCUAACCGUAGGGAAGGUGAAUAAUCUCCGGAAGUAAAAUUUACCUCUUCUGACCAAACUAAUUUAUAUAUUUACUUUCUUUCCUGUUUCAUUUACGUUGUAAAUCUUCUUUGUUAUUAGUAUUCUCAGUUUUAGUGGGGAAGAUUUGAUGAUAGGCAUUUACAUAGCAGAGCAAAUUGUUUUUACAUCGACCUAGCCAGUUCUUACUGACGUUGCUAUGAUGUUGCUCUGAAUUUCGGACAUGGUGAAGUUUUGUGCUUCUGUAUUUAGAACUAUAUCUAUCAAUCAUUCAAGUUUUGAAUGAAAUAUUCUGGAAAUAAUGAUGGAAAAUAGAAGUGCAGUCCUAAAAAAAUA
RNAcentral lists this long non-coding RNA (963 nucleotides) under Nicotiana tabacum (common tobacco). RNAcentral describes it as "long non-coding RNA (NTAB_LNC006032)". Lineage: Eukaryota; Viridiplantae; Streptophyta; Magnoliopsida; Solanales; Solanaceae. The record is from RNAcentral.